CGCGGCCUAUCAGCUUGUUGGUGAGGUAGCGGCUCACCAAGGCUAUGACGGGUAGCCGGUCUGAGAGGAUGGUCGGUCACACUGGGACUGAGACACUGCCCAGACUCCUACGGGAGGCUGCAGUCGAGAAUCUUCCGCAAUGGGCGAAAGCCUGACGGAGCGACGCCGCGUGAAGGAUGAAGGCCCUCGGGUUGUAAACUUCUGUCAAGGUUCAAGGAAAAGGCAACGGUUAAUAGUCGUUGUCUUGACGUUGGGCCAAAAGGAAGCACCGGCUAACUCUGUGCCAGCAGCCGCGGUAAGACAGAGGGUGCAAACGUUGCUCGGAAUUACUGGGCUUAAAGCGCACGUAGGCGGUCAAGUAAGUGUCUUGUGAAAGCCCCCGGCUCAACCGGGGAACUGCAGGGCAUACUGCUUGGCUCGAGUUUGGGAGGGGAGAGUGGAACUCCUGGUGGAGCGGUGGAAUGCGUAGAUAUCAGGAGGAACGCCGAAGGUGAAGACAACUCUCUGGUCCAAUACUGACGCUGAGGUGCGAAAGCUAGGGGAGCGAACGGGAUUAGAUACCCCGGUAGUCCUAGCCCUAAACGAUGGGCACUAGCUAAGGGGGGUUCCUAUGCCUUCUUUGGCGAAGCAAAAGUUUUAAGUGCCCCGCCUGGGGAGUACGG
Molecule: ribosomal RNA, 662 nt
Filed under: uncultured bacterium
Lineage: Bacteria
Description: bacterial SSU rRNA
Rfam family: Bacterial small subunit ribosomal RNA
Source: RNAcentral